Molecule: small nuclear RNA, 105 nt
Organism: Prolemur simus (greater bamboo lemur)
Lineage: Eukaryota; Metazoa; Chordata; Mammalia; Primates; Lemuridae
Source: Ensembl
GUGCUCACUUCUGUAGUACAUAUACUAAAAAUUGGAACAGUACACAGAUUAGCAUGGUCCCUGCACAAAGAUGAUACGCAAAUUAACGAAGCAUUCCACAUUAAA